UUCGACGAGUCGAGUUGUUUGGGAAUGCAGCUCAAAAUGGGUGGUAAAUUUCAUCUAAAGCUAAAUAUGGGCCAGAGACCGAUAGCGCACAAGUAGAGUGAUCGAAAGAUGAAAAGCACUUUGGAAAGAGAGUUAAACAGUACGUGAAAUUGUUGAAAGGGAAGCGCUUGCAACCAGACUUGGGCGCUGCCGAUCACCCCGAGUUCUCUCGGGUGCACUCGACAGCGCACAGGCCAGCAUCGGUUCGGGUGGCUGGAUAAAGGCCGUAGGAAUGUAGCUCUCUUCGGGGAGUGUUAUAGCCCACGGUGCCAUGCAGCCCAGCCGGACCGAGGACCGCGCCUUCGGGCUAGGAUGCUGGCGUAAUGGUUGUAAGCGACCCGUCUUGAAACACGGACCAAGGAGUCUAACAUCUAUGCGAGUGUUUGGGCGUUAAACCCAUACGCGGAAUGAAAGUGAACGUAGGUGAGAACCCCUUUGGGGCGCAUCAUCGACCGAUCCUGAUGUCUUCGGAUGGAUUUGAGUAAGAGCAUAGC
Molecule: ribosomal RNA, 533 nt
Filed under: Erysiphe neolycopersici
Lineage: Eukaryota; Fungi; Ascomycota; Leotiomycetes; Helotiales; Erysiphaceae
Description: partial 28S ribosomal RNA
Rfam family: Eukaryotic large subunit ribosomal RNA
Source: RNAcentral